GUGGGGAAUAUUGGGCAAUGGGGGCAACCCUGACCCAGCAACGCCGCGUGAGGGAAGAAGGUUUUCGGAUUGUAAACCUCUGUCCUAUGGGAAGAAGGAAGUGACGGUACCAUAGGAGGAAGCCCCGGCUAACUACGUGCCAGCAGCCGCGGUAAUACGUAGGGGGCGAGCGUUGUCCGGAAUUACUGGGCGUAAAGGGUGCGCAGGUGGCCUGACAAGUCAGAUGUGAAAUACCGAUGCUUAACGUCGGGGCUGCAUUUGAAACUAUGAGGCUGGAGUACAGGAGAGGGAAGCGGAAUUCCUAGUGUAGCGGUGAAAUGCAUAGAUAUUAGGAGGAACACCAGUGGCGAAGGCGGCUUUCUGGACUGUAACUGACACUGAGGCACGAAAGCGUGGGGAGCAAACAGGAUUAGAUACCCUUGUAGUCC
RNAcentral lists this ribosomal RNA (428 nucleotides) under uncultured bacterium. RNAcentral describes it as "partial 16S ribosomal RNA". It matches the Rfam family "Bacterial small subunit ribosomal RNA", at positions 354 to 796 of the family's 1533-position model. The record is from RNAcentral.